Molecule: long non-coding RNA, 766 nt
Filed under: Gallus gallus (chicken)
Lineage: Eukaryota; Metazoa; Chordata; Aves; Galliformes; Phasianidae
Source: RNAcentral
UCCUUUCCUUUCAUUCGUCCCCCCCCCCCUUUCCUCCCUUCCAUUCCUUCCCUUUCUGUUCGGUUUCCAUUUCCUUUCAGUGGAGUUUCACUUCAUUUCCCCCCUUCUGUUCACCCCCCCCUUUUCCUUCCUUCAUUCCCAUUCAUUUCAGUCAUUCCUUUCUCUUCCAUUCAUUCCUCCCUUCGUUUCUCCCCUUCCAUUCAUUCCUUUCUUCUGUUUCCUUCAUUUUCCCUCAUUUCAUUCAUCCAUUCCUUCCAUUCAUUUUCUCCUUCAUUCAUUCAUUCAUUCAUUCAUUCAUUCAUUCCUUCCCUCCUUCCAUUCAUUCCCCCCUUUUGUUCCCCCAUUUCGUUCCUUUGAGUUUCUUUUGCUUUUAAUUAUUUUUUUUCUCAGCGUUUUCGUUUUAAUUUCCUCCCAUUAAUUCCAAUCAUUUCAAUUUCUCUCAUUAAUUCCCAUCAUUUCAUUUUUAUUUCCUUCGAUUUCAUUCCUAUUUUAAUCCAAUUAUUUCUCCUGCCGCGUUUCUUUCAUUCAUUCAUUCAUUCAUUCAUUCAUUCAUUCAUUCAUUCAUUCCUUUCCCCCCAUUAUUUCCCCCAUUAUUUCCCCGCAGUAUUUUAUUUUAUUUCCUCCCUUUUCAGCUGUAUUUUAUUUCCGGGGGGGUUUGGGGGAGAUUCCCCUCCACCCCCCCUCCCCUUUUCCAAUUCCACUCCACACAAAUGGGGCUCCCAGCGAUGGGGGGGGGGCAAUGAACCCCAAUAAAAGGCCAUUCUGC